AUUGAACGCUGGCAGCAUGCUUUACACAUGCAAGUCGAACGGUAACAGGGAGCUUGCUCCGCUGACGAGUGGCGAACGGGUGAGUAAUAUAUCGGAACGUACCCAAGAGUGGGGGAUAACGUAGCGAAAGUUACGCUAAUACCGCAUACGAUCUACGGAUGAAAGCAGGGGAUCGCAAGACCUUGCGCGAAUGGAGCGGC
This 200-nucleotide ribosomal RNA is filed under the name uncultured bacterium. RNAcentral's name for it is "partial 16S ribosomal RNA". It matches the Rfam family "Bacterial small subunit ribosomal RNA", at positions 30 to 230 of the family's 1533-position model. The record is from RNAcentral.